Molecule: ribosomal RNA, 119 nt
Filed under: Aegilops tauschii subsp. strangulata
Lineage: Eukaryota; Viridiplantae; Streptophyta; Magnoliopsida; Poales; Poaceae
Source: RNAcentral
GGAUGCGAUCAUACCAGCACUAAAGCACCGGAUCCCAUCAGAACUCUGUAGUUAAGCGUGCUUGGGCGAGAGUAGUACUAGGAUGGGUGACCUCCUGGGAAGUCCUCGUGUUGCAUUCC